RNAcentral lists this ribosomal RNA (1520 nucleotides) under Klebsiella pneumoniae. RNAcentral describes it as "bacterial SSU rRNA". It matches the Rfam family "Bacterial small subunit ribosomal RNA". RNAcentral also lists the same sequence under 1 other name. Lineage: Bacteria; Pseudomonadati; Pseudomonadota; Gammaproteobacteria; Enterobacterales; Enterobacteriaceae. The record is from RNAcentral.
AGAGUUUGAUCAUGGCUCAGAUUGAACGCUGGCGGCAGGCCUAACACAUGCAAGUCGAGCGGUAGCACAGAGAGCUUGCUCUCGGGUGACGAGCGGCGGACGGGUGAGUAAUGUCUGGGAAACUGCCUGAUGGAGGGGGAUAACUACUGGAAACGGUAGCUAAUACCGCAUAAUGUCGCAAGACCAAAGUGGGGGACCUUCGGGCCUCAUGCCAUCAGAUGUGCCCAGAUGGGAUUAGCUAGUAGGUGGGGUAACGGCUCACCUAGGCGACGAUCCCUAGCUGGUCUGAGAGGAUGACCAGCCACACUGGAACUGAGACACGGUCCAGACUCCUACGGGAGGCAGCAGUGGGGAAUAUUGCACAAUGGGCGCAAGCCUGAUGCAGCCAUGCCGCGUGUGUGAAGAAGGCCUUCGGGUUGUAAAGCACUUUCAGCGGGGAGGAAGGCGGUAAGGUUAAUAACCUUGGCGAUUGACGUUACCCGCAGAAGAAGCACCGGCUAACUCCGUGCCAGCAGCCGCGGUAAUACGGAGGGUGCAAGCGUUAAUCGGAAUUACUGGGCGUAAAGCGCACGCAGGCGGUCUGUCAAGUCGGAUGUGAAAUCCCCGGGCUCAACCUGGGAACUGCAUUCGAAACUGGCAGGCUAGAGUCUUGUAGAGGGGGGUAGAAUUCCAGGUGUAGCGGUGAAAUGCGUAGAGAUCUGGAGGAAUACCGGUGGCGAAGGCGGCCCCCUGGACAAAGACUGACGCUCAGGUGCGAAAGCGUGGGGAGCAAACAGGAUUAGAUACCCUGGUAGUCCACGCCGUAAACGAUGUCGAUUUGGAGGUUGUGCCCUUGAGGCGUGGCUUCCGGAGCUAACGCGUUAAAUCGACCGCCUGGGGAGUACGGCCGCAAGGUUAAAACUCAAAUGAAUUGACGGGGGCCCGCACAAGCGGUGGAGCAUGUGGUUUAAUUCGAUGCAACGCGAAGAACCUUACCUGGUCUUGACAUCCACAGAACUUUCCAGAGAUGGAUUGGUGCCUUCGGGAACUGUGAGACAGGUGCUGCAUGGCUGUCGUCAGCUCGUGUUGUGAAAUGUUGGGUUAAGUCCCGCAACGAGCGCAACCCUUAUCCUUUGUUGCCAGCGGUUCGGCCGGGAACUCAAAGGAGACUGCCAGUGAUAAACUGGAGGAAGGUGGGGAUGACGUCAAGUCAUCAUGGCCCUUACGACCAGGGCUACACACGUGCUACAAUGGCAUAUACAAAGAGAAGCGACCUCGCGAGAGCAAGCGGACCUCAUAAAGUAUGUCGUAGUCCGGAUUGGAGUCUGCAACUCGACUCCAUGAAGUCGGAAUCGCUAGUAAUCGUAGAUCAGAAUGCUACGGUGAAUACGUUCCCGGGCCUUGUACACACCGCCCGUCACACCAUGGGAGUGGGUUGCAAAAGAAGUAGGUAGCUUAACCUUCGGGAGGGCGCUUACCACUUUGUGAUUCAUGACUGGGGUGAAGUCGUAACAAGGUAACCGUAGGGGAACCUGCGGUUG